CGCGUAGGCGGGAUAUUAAGUCUCUUGUCAAAGUGCGGGGCUCAACCCCGUGAUGCGGGAGAAACUAAUAUUCUUGAGUGCCGGAGAGGAAAGCGGAAUUCCCAGUGUAGCGGUGAAAUGCGUAGAUAUUGGGAGGAACACCAGUGGCGAAGGCGGCUUUCUGGACGGUGUCUGACGCUGAGGCGCGAAAGCCAGGGGAGCGAACGGGAUUAGAUACCCCCGGUAGUCCUGGCCGUAAACGAUGGGUACUAGGUGUAGGGGGUAUCGACCCCUCCUGUGCCGGAGUUAACGCAAUAAGUACCCCGCCUGGGGAGUACGGCCGCAAGGUUGAA
This 332-nucleotide ribosomal RNA is filed under the name uncultured bacterium. RNAcentral describes it as "bacterial SSU rRNA". It matches the Rfam family "Bacterial small subunit ribosomal RNA", at positions 568 to 898 of the family's 1533-position model. The record is from RNAcentral.